GUGCACCAGGCGCGAAAACUUCACAAUGUGCGAAAGCACGAUGAGGGAAUCCCAAGUGCUUGCUCGUAAGAGUAAGCUGUUUCUCUGUCUAAAACGCAGAGAGAGUAAGGGCUGGGUAAGACGGGUGCCAGCCGCCGCGGUAAUACCUGCAGCUCGAGUGGUGCCGCUAUUAUUGGGCCUAAAACGUCCGUAGCCGGUUUAUUAAAUGCCUGGGUAAAUCGGACCGCUUAACGGUUCGAAUUCCGGGUAGACUGAUAAACUUGAGACCGGGAGAAGCUAGAGGUACUCCUGGGGUAGAGGUGAAAUUCUGUAAUCCUAGGGGGACCACCAGUGGCGAAGGCGUCUAGCUAGAACGGGUCUGACGGUGAGGGACGAAGCCCUGGGGCGCAAACGGGAUUAGAUACCCCUGUAGU
This 413-nucleotide ribosomal RNA is filed under the name uncultured microorganism. RNAcentral describes it as "bacterial SSU rRNA". It matches the Rfam family "Archaeal small subunit ribosomal RNA", at positions 330 to 745 of the family's 1478-position model. The record is from RNAcentral.